CAUGAGAUCACAGUGGUAACACCAAGGACAGAAGGGGAGAUGGGCACAGGUGCUGCGGCCCGACCCUCGGGAGAUCACGGCGGUAACACCAAGGACAGAGGGGGAGAUGGGCACAGGCGCUGCGGCCCAACCCUCAUGAGAUCACAGCGGUAACACCAAGGACAGAGGGGGAGAUGGGCACGGGCGCUGCGGCCCAACCCUCAUGAGAUCACAGCGGUAACACCAAGGACAGUGGGGGAGAUGGGCACAGGCGCUACGGCCCGAUCCUCAUGAGAAGUGGCGCAGUGUUACGUGAAGGACGACUGUGUGUGAGACUGGGUCUCGCUUGCUGGUCUCAAAUUCCUGAGCUCUAAGCGAUCCUCCCACCUUGGUCCCUCCAAGUGCUGGGAUUAUAUCGGCAUGAGCCACCACACCAGGCCAGGGAAGGCUGUUUAAAGGUGACGUUUGAACGGUGUCAGAAAAGCGAGUCACUUUCCUGUUUUUGAGCAAUGGAGAGGGUGCAAUGCAUUCUUGUUUGAGAAGAUGGCUGAUCAAGGAUGCAGAGACAUAAUUUUUAUUAACAUGGCAUCUCUGAGAGGCAGGCUGGAGACCUUCUGCUUUACAGAAAGGGACAUGGAGAACAGGAUUGCCUUACACACAAGACAUCUGGAAGCGGAAUUCAUAUCUAUUGAUACCCCAACCAAUGCAGUUCCCACGGGAUCAUCCGUAGAUACAUUCCAGGCAGUGGCCUCUCUCUGGUGACAGCACACUUCCUCCACCAGCUUGGAACCUGGCACCACCGUUUCCAGGCUGGCGUUUCUUGAACCUUCCUGUUUGCCUAGGCCGUAAUUGAGACAUCACCUUCGCUUCAUUCCUGAUCCACCCCAGGAGAAGUUUCAUCAUAGGAUCUUCACACCCUCAUUAAUCUCUCAUCUAAUGCAGAGUGACCUACCUCAUGCCCCAGCCAGCGGCUGCCCUUCCCACCUGGCCCCAAGCGGGACCCAUGGAGUCAAUUUUCUGGUGCAGAGCGAGAGGCUCCACUGACUGAAAUUGCUGGUUACCUGGUGGAAUCUGGC
This 1055-nucleotide long non-coding RNA is filed under the name Pan troglodytes (chimpanzee). Its description in RNAcentral is "long non-coding RNA NONPTRT017664". Lineage: Eukaryota; Metazoa; Chordata; Mammalia; Primates; Hominidae. The record is from RNAcentral.